GGUCCCUCCCCAUCCCCUUCCCUCGAACAGUUCUACUCUCCCUCUCUCUCCCUCUCUCUCUGUCUUUCUCUCCCCUCCCUGGCCCCCCUCUCCCUAGCCUCUUUUCCUCUUGGCCCCUUUCCCUCCUCUAUCCCUCCUCGGCGUCUGCGUCAGGCCCCUACUUGCGUGACGCGCGGGGUCUGGGUGGGAGCUGUCCACUCGCCUGGGGUGCUGAAUGCAGCAGCGGCGGCGGCGGCGGCGGCAGCGGAGAUAGAUGAGAGCCUUCUCGGCUCCAAGAAUCUUGUUUCCAUUCCUCGGACGGUCAGCUCACCGCCCCGCCACCUCUCUUCCAUCACCACCCCUUUGGGAACUGAGCCAGGGGGGCAGCAGUCGCGGCGGCGGGUGCUGAGCAACGGCGGAAGACGAGACAACACCUGGCAGCAGCCUGGAAUCUGAUUUGCUUCCUCUCGCCUUUUAUAAGAGAUAUAUUUAUAUACGGUUUUGAGGAGUCGCAAGGACCAAGCCGGAGCCAAGUGCGGGCUGUCUCCCACCUCGGCCACACUGCUUCAUUUCCCCCUCCCCACCUGCAACUGGCACCGCAAACAAGCCUUACCUCGUUGCAUCUGCGAGGAGCCGCCCCCACCCCUACGCCUGCCUCGCCUCCGGUUGCAUGGCAGCGCUGCCCGGGCGCGGGGGCUCAGAGCCGGCCCCCAGGGAAGGAGGAGGAGGAGGCGGAGGAUCAUGAAGCCGGGAGUCGCGGACGCGCCGGACGGCGAGCAGCAGCCAGAGGACGAGCCGGAGCAACCCCCGCCCCGGAGACACCGGGACGCCGACCAGCGUUCACUGCCGCCGCCACAGCAGCAUCAGCGGCCACGGGCAGACUCGGAGCAAGAGGAGAAGGGCGCCAGCGGCCCAGAAGAGGAAGAGGAAGAGAAGGAGAGGCCACUCACCCGCCCGGAUCUGCCCUUCUCCCGCCCCUUGCCUCUCGCCCCAAGAGACCUUUGAUGGAGCCAAGGGGAAGGGGCCACGGAUUUACAGACUGCCUCAGGGGUGGGCUGGGGGCUGAAAUCAUGUAACUACUCCUUCCUCCUGUCUGUUCCCACACGCCCCUUUUCUCUAUCCCAUCUCUCUGCUCCACUGCCUCCCGUCCCCUAUACACUCACCCUUCCUCUAGCCAGGAUCCUAAUGCUCAGGAAGGAAGCAGAUCUGCAAGAGUUAAACGAUCUUUUCUUCCCUCCUUCUUUCCCCCUCGCCAGCCCAUUAUUUUCCCACUUCUAUUCUCCUAAUUGACUUUUCCCUCUUCUGUGCAACCCUUUAGCUGCAACAGCAAAGCACAAGCCCCUUGCCCAAUUUCACCGGCAAUUCCUCCUCCCUGCCCCCUCACCCCCCAUCCAACUGCUCUCUUAAAAGUAACUCUGGUGCUUCUGGGGAUUAAUUGCCCCAGUUUUCUGCCCAGGAGAAUUAAAACUUCUCCCAACCUCCUCUCCUCCCCACUGUACACCCCCCACCCCCACAACCGAUCACCUGAUACCUGAGGAAAACUAUUUCUCUCUGCACAUGCAGUACUCAAUUUUUCACUGGGCUGAUUUGCCCUAAGCCCAGCUCAGUCCACUCCAAAUUUGAUUUAUAAUCUUCCUCACCCUUUUAUACAAAAGAAAAGAAAUUUCCCACUGCCUAGGAAUUUGAGAAGAACCCAAAAAUCUUCUCCUGGGAAACUUUCUAACAACUAGACCUUGAUCUCAAGGCCUAAACAGCUCUUCCUCAACAUUUUUAAAACCCCCCUUCUCCUCCCAGUGCCCUCAAGUCAAAGGCCAAAAGGAGACACCCUGAGCAAAGCUAAGGUUGCGGGAGGGAGGAAAGAAAACCUUUUUUGUUGUUGUUGGGCUUUCCGGGGAGAGUUCAAAAUCAGUGACUUACAGUUCUAAGUCCUGGGGGCAGUUGAUUUGCUACUUGGAAGGGGUUUAAGAGGAACCAGUGAGAAAGCAGAUCCUCCCAAAACACAGCUUCGCUGUGGACCCCCCCAAAACCAUUCUACUAUCUUCUUCUGAAAAGACUCCAGCUGCCCCUCCCGGGC
Molecule: long non-coding RNA, 2053 nt
Organism: Suricata suricatta (meerkat)
Lineage: Eukaryota; Metazoa; Chordata; Mammalia; Carnivora; Herpestidae
Source: Ensembl